This 494-nucleotide ribosomal RNA is filed under the name uncultured bacterium. RNAcentral's name for it is "bacterial SSU rRNA". It matches the Rfam family "Bacterial small subunit ribosomal RNA", at positions 28 to 518 of the family's 1533-position model. The record is from RNAcentral.
GAUGAACGCUAGCGGCAGGCUUAAUACAUGCAAGUCGAGGGGCAACAGGGGUAGCAAUACCUGCUGGCGACCGGCAAACGGGUGCGGAACACGUACAGAACCUUCCUUUAAGCGGGGGAUAGCCCAUAGAAAUGUGGAUUAAUACCCCAUAGUAAUAUUUGAUGGCAUCAUUAGAUAUUUAAAGAUUUAUCACUUAAAGAUGGCUGUGCGGCUGAUUAGGUAGUUGGUGAGGUAACGGCUCACCAAGCCAUCGAUCAGUAACUGGUGUGAGAGCACGACCAGUCACACGGGCACUGAGACACGGGCCCGACUCCUACGGGAGGCAGCAGUAAGGAAUAUUGGUCAAUGGACGCAAGUCUGAACCAGCCAUGCCGCGUGAAGGAUGAAGGCCCUCUGGGUUGUAAACUUCUUUUAUCUGGGAAGAAUCACUUCUUUAUAGNGGUGUUGACGGUACCAGAGGAAUAAGCACCGGCUAACUCCGUGCCAGCCGCCGC